GGCUGGUCCGAGUGCAGUGGUGUUUACAACUAAUUGAUCACAACCAGUUACAGAUUUCUUUGUUCCUUCCCCCCCCCCACUGCUUUGUUUGACUAGCCUAAA
Molecule: unclassified non-coding RNA, 102 nt
Organism: Cavia aperea (Brazilian guinea pig)
Lineage: Eukaryota; Metazoa; Chordata; Mammalia; Rodentia; Caviidae
Rfam family: Y RNA
About the family: Y RNAs are components of the Ro ribonucleoprotein particle (Ro RNP), in association with Ro60 and La proteins. The Y RNAs and Ro60 and La proteins are well conserved, but the function of the Ro RNP is not known.
Source: Ensembl